CCGUACACAAAAGCGCAUGUGCUGUGAGCUCGAUGAGUAGGGCGGGACACGUGGUAUCCUGUCUGAAUAUGGGGGGACCAUCCUCCAAGGCUAAAUACUCCUGACUGACCGAUAGUGAACCAGUACCGUGAGGGAAAGGCGAAAAGAACCCCGGCGAGGGGAGUGAAAAAGAACCUGAAACCGUGUACGUACAAGCAGUGGGAGCACAGGUUUACCUGUGUGACUGCGUACCUUUUGUAUAAUGGGUCAGCGACUUAUAUUCUGUAGCAAGGUUAACCGUAUAGGGGAGCCGUAGGGAAACCGAGUCUUAACCGGGCGUUAAGUUGCAGGGUAUAGACCCGAAACCCGGUGAUCUAGCCAUGGGCAGGUUGAAGGUUGGGUAACACUAACUGGAGGACCGAACCGACUAAUGUUGAAAAAUUAGCGGAUGACCUGUGGCUGGGGGUGAAAGGCCAAUCAAACCGGGAGAUAGCUGGUUCUCCCCGAAAGCUAUUUAGGUAGCGCCUCGUGAAUUCAUCUCCGGGGGUAGAGCACUGUUUCGGCUAGGGGGCCAUCCCGGCUUACCAACCCGAUGCAAACUGCGAAUACCGGAGAAUGUUAUCACGGGAGACACACGGCGGGUGCUAACGUCCGUCGUGAAGAGGGAAACAACCCAGACCGCCAGCUAAGGUCCCAAAGUCAUGGUUAAGUGGGAAACGAUGUGGGAAGGCCCAGACAGCCAGGAUGUUGGCUUAGAAGCAGCCAUCAUUUAAAGAAAGCGUAAUAGCUCACUGGUCGAGUCGGCCUGCGCGGAAGAUGUAACGGGGCUAAACCAUGCACCGAAGCUGCGGCAGCGAACGUAUCACCCAAGACAACUUUACGGAGUUGACGAUUGACGGAGCGAAGCGACGUCAAAGCGUUCAUUAAAGUCGAGUUGGCUUAGGGAUACGUUCGUUGGGUAGGGGAGCGUUCUGUAAGCCUGUGAAGGUGUGUCGUGAGGCAUGCUGGAGGUAUCAGAAGUGCGAAUGCUGACAUAAGUAACGAUAAAGCGGGUGAAAAGCCCGCUCGCCGGAAGACCAAGGGUUCCUGUCCAACGUUAAUCGGGGCAGGGUGAGUCGACCCCUAAGGCGAGGCCGAAAGGCGUAGUCGAUGGGAAACGGGUUAAUAUUCCCGUACUUGGUGUUACUGCGAAGGGGGGACGGAGAAGGCUAUGUUGGCCGGGCGACGGUUGUCCCGGUUUAAGCGUGUAGGUGUGUGUUCCAGGUAAAUCCGGUUCACUUUAACACUGAGGCGUGACGACGAGGCACUACGGUGCUGAAGCAACAAAUGCCCUGCUUCCAGGAAAAGCCUCUAAGCAUCAGGUAACACGAAAUCGUACCCCAAACCGACACAGGUGGUCAGGUAGAGAAUACCAAGGCGCUUGAGAGAACUCGGGUGAAGGAACUAGGCAAAAUGGUGCCGUAACUUCGGGAGAAGGCACGCUGACACGUAGGUGAAGUGAUUUACUCAUGGAGCUGAAGUCAGUCGAAGAUACCAGCUGGCUGCAACUGUUUAUUAAAAACACAGCACUGUGCAAACACGAAAGUGGACGUAUACGGUGUGACGCCUGCCCGGUGCCGGAAGGUUAAUUGAUGGGGUCAGCGCAAGCGAAGCUCCUGAUCGAAGCCCCGGUAAACGGCGGCCGUAACUAUAACGGUCCUAAGGUAGCGAAAUUCCUUGUCGGGUAAGUUCCGACCUGCACGAAUGGCGUAAUGAUGGCCAGGCUGUCUCCACCCGAGACUCAGUGAAAUUGAACUCGCUGUGAAGAUGCAGUGUACCCGCGGCAAGACGGAAAGACCCCGUGAACCUUUACUAUAGCUUGACACUGAACAUUGAGCCUUGAUGUGUAGGAUAGGUGGGAGGCUUUGAAGUGUGGACGCCAGUCUGCAUGGAGCCGACCUUGAAAUACCACCCUUUAAUGUUUGAUGUUCUAACGUGGACCCGUAAUCCGGGUUGCGGACAGUGUCUGGUGGGUAGUUUGACUGGGGCGGUCUCCUCCUAAAGAGUAACGGAGGAGCACGAAGGUUGGCUAAUCCUGGUCGGACAUCAGGAGGUUAGUGCAAUGGCAUAAGCCAGCUUGACUGCGAGCGUGACGGCGCGAGCAGGUGCGAAAGCAGGUCAUAGUGAUCCGGUGGUUCUGAAUGGAAGGGCCAUCGCUCAACGGAUAAAAGGUACUCCGGGGAUAACAGGCUGAUACCGCCCAAGAGUUCAUAUCGACGGCGGUGUUUGGCACCUCGAUGUCGGCUCAUCACAUCCUGGGGCUGAAGUAGGUCCCAAGGGUAUGGCUGUUCGCCAUUUAAAGUGGUACGCGAGCUGGGUUUAGAACGUCGUGAGACAGUUCGGUCCCUAUCUGCCGUGGGCGCUGGAGAACUGAGGGGGGCUGCUCCUAGUACGAGAGGACCGGAGUGGACGCAUCACUGGUGUUCGGGUUGUCAUGCCAAUGGCACUGCCCGGUAGCUAAAUGCGGAAGAGAUAAGUGCUGAAAGCAUCUAAGCACGAAACUUGCCCCGAGAUGAGUUCUCCCUGAGACUUAGAGUCUCCUGAAGGAACGUUGAAGACGACGACGUUGAUAGGCCGGGUGUGUAAGCGCAGCGAUGCGUUGAGCUAACCGGUACUAAUGAACCGUGAGGCUUAACCUUACAACGCCGAAG
RNAcentral lists this ribosomal RNA (2669 nucleotides) under Salmonella enterica subsp. enterica serovar Typhimurium. RNAcentral's name for it is "partial 23S ribosomal RNA". It matches the Rfam family "Bacterial large subunit ribosomal RNA", at positions 373 to 2925 of the family's 2925-position model. The record is from RNAcentral. Lineage: Bacteria; Pseudomonadati; Pseudomonadota; Gammaproteobacteria; Enterobacterales; Enterobacteriaceae.